Molecule: long non-coding RNA, 1007 nt
Filed under: Phascolarctos cinereus (koala)
Lineage: Eukaryota; Metazoa; Chordata; Mammalia; Diprotodontia; Phascolarctidae
Description: lncRNA (ENSPCIG00000011122.2)
Source: RNAcentral
GUUUGACAGGUUUGUUGACUGUAAAGAGAGAAAACUUCCCAGGAAUGAGGGAGUGGGGGGGGGGGAGUUAGAGGAAUAUGCAGCCCCAGGGGCCAAGGGGAAGACGGGGUGGGGGCCUAGAAGGAUAGGGGUGCCUAACUUAGAAUCGCAGACCUCCUGAGGCUAGCUGUUCCUUACAAAGGUCCUCUGCUCCCUCCCUCUGCCUACAGACUUUUUGAUCUCUGUGCUAGGCAAAGCUCUCAGAAGUCUCUCCCAGAGCAGAAGCAUCCCCAGGGAAGAAGAUCCACAGACUUCAGGGUUGGAAGAGAAUUUAGAGAUAAUCUUGUCCAUACACUCUGUCAUUAUACGGACCAGGAAAGUGAGGAGACCCAGAGAGAUGAAGUGAUUGCCCAAGGUCACGUAAGAGCAAGUAACCGAAUCGACACUCGAACUCAAUUCUUGUAGCUCCAAAUCCAGUGAUCUAUGCGCAGCUUCCUCUAGGCAACCAGUUCCUCGGUCCUCACUGCUAAGGAAGUUCCCCUGACCUCCCUCCCUCCUGAGAAUUGAGAACGUGUCCUGAUGGCCCUGCUGCUCUUCCUCCCACCUUCACUCGGGAGGGGGAAGGGCUGUGGAUCGUCGGUAGGCUGGUGGGCUUCAGAGGUAGAGACCAAAGCUUUCUCCCCACGCUCUGUAGCAGUGCCGGGGUGAGCACCAGCUCAGCCCCAGAGGGUCCCUGGUUCCCUGAGCCUGCCCUUCCACCUCCUCUCCCACCCGGCAUCCGCCCCUGGCAGCCGCUGAGCGGUGUUGUGGGGGUGGGGGAGCCCAGCUGCAGGCAGGGGUCCCUCACAGUGCCCCCCCGAUGGGUGCCGAGAGACGGAUGGAGGUCAGGAUUCCAGAAGGGAACAGCAGUCCCUGUCCGCCCUGGCCCCAACUUUAAGGUGCCUUCGAGUUUGGGAAUGGGGGCGGGGUUCCGGGCAGGAAAGCGUUGUUUGAGACAAGCGGAGUAGCUCAGAGCCCUUAGAGGAAAG